RNAcentral lists this long non-coding RNA (217 nucleotides) under Nicotiana benthamiana. RNAcentral describes it as "long non-coding RNA (NBEN_LNC024473)". The record is from RNAcentral. Lineage: Eukaryota; Viridiplantae; Streptophyta; Magnoliopsida; Solanales; Solanaceae.
UACGAACAGUAUUUUUUCUCAGAUAACCGAAGAAAAACUUCAGCGAAAGCUUCAUCAAGUAUUGAUAACACGUAACAGAGAAGGAUCGGAAGAUUUUCCCGCUCUGAUACCAUGAAAACAUGAGGAUUUGAAGAUGAAAAUCAGAAACGAUGAAGAUGAACAGGAACCGAUACAGAGAGAGAAUGGGAAGCUUCUGGAAAAAGCCAUAAGACCAAAA